Molecule: ribosomal RNA, 755 nt
Filed under: Lactifluus gerardiellus
Lineage: Eukaryota; Fungi; Basidiomycota; Agaricomycetes; Russulales; Russulaceae
Description: partial 28S ribosomal RNA
Rfam family: Eukaryotic large subunit ribosomal RNA
Source: RNAcentral
AUUUAAAAUCUGACGGUCCUUGGCCGUCCGNGUUGUAAUUUAGAGAAGCGUCUUCCGCGCCAGACCGUGCAAAAGUCUUCUGGAAUGAAGUGUCAUAGAGGGUGAGAACCCCGUCUUUGGCAUGGAUUCUUGGUGCUUCUGUGAUGCGCUCUCGAAGAGUCGAGUUGUUUGGGAAUGCAGCUCAAAAUGGGUGGUGAACUCCAUCUAAAGCUAAAUAUUGGCGAGAGACCGAUAGCGAACAAGUACCGUGAGGGAAAGAUGAAAAGCACUUUGGAAAGAGAGUGAAACAGUACGUGAAAUUGUUGAAAGGGAAACGCUUGAAGUCAGUCGCGUCGACCAAGACUCAGCCUUGCCUCGGCUUGGUGUUCUUCUUGGCUGACGGGCCAGCAUCAAUUUUGUCCCUCGGAUAAUGGCAAGGGAAAGGUGGCACCCUUACGGGUGUGUUAUAGUCUUUUGUCGCAUGCGAGGGGUGGGAUUGAGGAACUCAGCACGCGCCUCUUGGUGCCGGGGCUUCGGCCCACGUUACGUGCUUAGGAUGUUGGCGUAAUGGCUUUAAACGACCCGUCUUGAAACACGGACCAAGGAGUCUAACAUGCCCGCGAGUGUUCGGGUGGAAAACCCGUGCGCGUAAUGAAAGUAAAAGUUGGGACNUCUGUCGUGGAGGGCACCGACGCCCGGACCAGACCUUCUGUGACNNNNNNGCGGUAGAGCGUGCAUGUUGGGACCCGAAAGAUGGUGAACUAUGCCUGAAUAGG